This 255-nucleotide ribosomal RNA is filed under the name uncultured bacterium. RNAcentral's name for it is "partial 16S ribosomal RNA". It matches the Rfam family "Bacterial small subunit ribosomal RNA", at positions 793 to 1055 of the family's 1533-position model. The record is from RNAcentral.
GUCCACGCCGUAAACGAUGAGUGCUAGGUGUUGGGGAGACUCAGUGCCGCAGCUAACGCAAUAAGCACUCCGCCUGGGGAGUACGACCGCAAGGUUGAAACUCAAAGGAAUUGACGGGGACCCGCACAAGCAGCGGAGCAUGUGGUUUAAUUCGAAGCAACGCGAAGAACCUUACCAGGUCUUGACAUCCUCUGACAAUCCGAGAGAUCGGACUUUCCCUCGGGGACAGAGAGACAGGUGGUGCAUGGUUGUCGU